Molecule: ribosomal RNA, 301 nt
Filed under: uncultured bacterium
Lineage: Bacteria
Description: partial 16S ribosomal RNA
Rfam family: Bacterial small subunit ribosomal RNA
Source: RNAcentral
CAGCCGCCGCGGUAAUGCGAAGGGGGCUAGCGUUACUCGGAAUUACUGGGCGUAAAGGGCGCGUAGGCGGCACGAUUAGUCAGGCGUGAAAUUCCUGGGCUCAACCUGGGGACUGCGCUUGAUACGGUCGAGCUAGAGGAUGGAAGAGGGUCGUGGAAUUCCCAGUGUAGAGGUGAAAUUCGUAGAUAUUGGGAAGAACACCGGUGGCGAAGGCGGCGACCUGGUCCAUUACUGACGCUGAGGCGCGACAGCGUGGGGAGCAAACAGGAUUAGAUACCCGUGUAGUCCCUGUCUCUUAUAA